GGGGCUGUAGCUCAGUGGUAGAGCAUCUCAUUUGCAAUAACAUUCCUGCGAAUGUCACACAACUGUUGAGAAGGUCUAGGGUUCAAUCCCCUACCGCUCCA
This 101-nucleotide transfer RNA is filed under the name Ustilago sp. UG-2017a. RNAcentral describes it as "transfer RNA-Ala(TGC)". It matches the Rfam family "tRNA". Rfam says of the family: Transfer RNA (tRNA) molecules are approximately 80 nucleotides in length. Their secondary structure includes four short double-helical elements and three loops (D, anti-codon, and T loops). Further hydrogen bonds mediate the characteristic L-shaped molecular structure. tRNAs have two regions of fundamental functional importance: the anti-codon, which is responsible for specific mRNA codon recognition, and the 3' end, to which the tRNAs corresponding amino acid is attached (by aminoacyl-tRNA synthetases). tRNAs cope with the degeneracy of the genetic code in two manners: having more than one tRNA (with a specific anti-codon) for a particular amino acid; and 'wobble' base-pairing, i.e. permitting non-standard base-pairing at the 3rd anti-codon position. Lineage: Eukaryota; Fungi; Basidiomycota; Ustilaginomycetes; Ustilaginales; Ustilaginaceae. The record is from RNAcentral.